RNAcentral lists this ribosomal RNA (253 nucleotides) under uncultured bacterium. RNAcentral's name for it is "partial 16S ribosomal RNA". It matches the Rfam family "Bacterial small subunit ribosomal RNA", at positions 524 to 776 of the family's 1533-position model. The record is from RNAcentral.
UACAGAGGUCCCGAGCGUUGUUCGGAUUCAUUGGGCGUAAAGGGUGCGUAGGCGGUCUUCUAAGUUUGAUGUGAAAUCCCGGGGCUCAACCCUGGAAUUGCAUUGAAUACUGGAGGACUGGAGUCCCGGAGAGGAAACUGGAAUUUACGGUGUAGCAGUGAAAUGCGUAGAGAUCGUAAGGAAGACCAGUGGCGAAGGCGAGUUUCUGGACGGGUACUGACGCUGAGGCACGAAGGCCAGGGGAGCAAACGGG